Molecule: ribosomal RNA, 439 nt
Filed under: uncultured bacterium
Lineage: Bacteria
Description: partial 16S ribosomal RNA
Rfam family: Bacterial small subunit ribosomal RNA
Source: RNAcentral
CUACGGGUUGCUCCAGUGGGGAAUAUUGCACAAUGGGGGAAACCCUGAUGCAGCAACGCCGCGUGGAGGAUGACGCAUUUCGGUGUGUAAACUCCUUUUAUAUAGGAAGAUAAUGACGGUACUAUAUGAAUAAGCACCGGCUAACUCCGUGCCAGCAGCCGCGGUAAUGCGGAGGGUGCAAGCGUUACUCGGAAUCACUGGGCGUAAAGCGCGCGCAGGCGGCCUUUUAAGUUGGAUGUGAAAGCCUAUGGCUUAACCAUAGAACUGCAUCCAAAACUAUCAGGCUAGAGUCUGGGAGGGGAAGAUGGAAUUAGUUGUGUAGGGGUAAAAUCCGUAGAGAUAACUAGGAAUACCAAAAGCGAAGGCGAUCUUCUGGAACAGUACUGACGCUGAGGCGCGAAAGCGUGGGGAGCAAACAGGAUUAGAUACCCGGGUAGUC